AGUACAGCCCUGCAACUUGGAUUCAGCUUCAUGCAUAUCCCAUAAAUCUCGAACACAAGCAUGGGCCUGAAGAACUUAUGUUGUCUAAUAAAUACUUUAAACUUGAACAUGUCUCUUUGUGUUUAGACUUUCUAUUUGUGGUCAUUAUGUAUGGUCUUUUACACACUACUAUGCCCUAGAAAAAAAUACAUCAAAAUUUAUGGAUUUCUUUUUUGUUAACCAGAGGCAGAUCUAGGGGAUUUAAAUUCUAUGAAUUCAAUCUUAAGAUUUUUAGUAUUCAACCCAUUAUAAUUUACAAGUUAUGGGUUCAUAUCUACUAUACAUUACAAUUUUAAUAAUUUUUUACACAAAAAUUUAUAUUCCGCGUCUAAAGUUAAUGCAUUGAACAAAUACGAGGAAUGUCAUUCAGAUUUACAUUUAGGUUGACUUUACUAUUAUCUAUCAAGUUAAUACAUUGUCAAUUUGUGAUUCUUGCUCAUUGAAAAUUUCAUAUCUAUUGUACAUUUAACCUUGAAGUUUUGAUUAAUUGAAUUUCUUUUCAGUUUCACUUUGUGACAAAGCUCCUGAAGAUAGUUGAUGUUGUACUCUCAAAUAAAGUUGGUCGUUCUAUCCUAUCACACACAUGAUGAUGUGAACUGCUACUCUACAUGAGGACUCAGUGGAGAAUGGAACAUCUGGGAAUGCUUUGUGAUAUCAAUGUGGAUGAGCUCCUGAACUGUAAAUUUCUGAAAUAUCUUAUGUAAUUGAGUUACUAAUAAUUUGAUUACUAAACAAGCUCAUUGUUAUUCUGAAAGUUCACUUAAA
This is a long non-coding RNA of Lycium ferocissimum, 804 nucleotides long. RefSeq lists it as uncharacterized. Lineage: Eukaryota; Viridiplantae; Streptophyta; Magnoliopsida; Solanales; Solanaceae. The record is from RefSeq and is a predicted model, not a curated record. The transcript has 2 exons.